GGUGAGGUGGGUGAGUGGCUUAAACCAGGAGUUUGCUAAACUUCCGUACGUUAUAAAUGCGUACCGAGGGUUCGAAUCCCUCCCUCACCGCCA
This 93-nucleotide transfer RNA is filed under the name Lentisphaeria bacterium. RNAcentral's name for it is "tRNA-Ser". It matches the Rfam family "tRNA". From Rfam's summary of the family: Transfer RNA (tRNA) molecules are approximately 80 nucleotides in length. Their secondary structure includes four short double-helical elements and three loops (D, anti-codon, and T loops). Further hydrogen bonds mediate the characteristic L-shaped molecular structure. tRNAs have two regions of fundamental functional importance: the anti-codon, which is responsible for specific mRNA codon recognition, and the 3' end, to which the tRNAs corresponding amino acid is attached (by aminoacyl-tRNA synthetases). tRNAs cope with the degeneracy of the genetic code in two manners: having more than one tRNA (with a specific anti-codon) for a particular amino acid; and 'wobble' base-pairing, i.e. permitting non-standard base-pairing at the 3rd anti-codon position. Lineage: Bacteria; Pseudomonadati; Lentisphaerota; Lentisphaeria. The record is from RNAcentral.